RNAcentral lists this ribosomal RNA (467 nucleotides) under uncultured bacterium. Its description in RNAcentral is "partial 16S ribosomal RNA". It matches the Rfam family "Bacterial small subunit ribosomal RNA", at positions 28 to 507 of the family's 1533-position model. The record is from RNAcentral.
GACGAACGCUGGCGGCGUGCUUAACACAUGCAAGUCGAACGGAAAGGCCUCUUUCGGGGGGUACUCGAGUGGCGAACGGGUGAGUAACACGUGAGUAACCUGCCCUUGACUUUGGGAUAACUUCAGGAAACUGGGGCUAAUACCGGAUAGGAGCUCCUGCUGCAUGGUGGGGGUUGGAAAGUUUCGGCGGUUGGGGAUGGACUGGCGGCUUAUCAGCUUGUUGGUGGGGUAGUGGCUUACCAAGGCUUUGACGGGUAGCCGGCCUGAGAGGGUGACCGGCCACAUUGGGACUGAGAUACGGCCCAGACUCCUACGGGAGGCAGCAGUGGGGAAUAUUGCACAAUGGGUGGAAGCCUGAUGCAGCAACGCCGUGUGCGGGAUGACGGCCUUCGGGUUGUAAACCGCUUUCGCUCAUGACGAAGCUUUGUGUGACGGUAGUGGGUAAAGAAGCACCGGCUAACUACGUG